ACGAGGCCGGAGCAGCACAGUCGUUUCCCAGAAGCCUCACCUGCGACGCCAGCAAACCCUCCCGCACGCCGACGAGAAACCUCUUCUUUACCCUGAAGUUCCCUGCGACGUUGUAGAUGACCCGAGGCCGCCAAGAAGGUCCCUCACACCAUCUGAGAUUGGACGAAAACCUGACCACUUCGCGAGGCAGUCGAUUGGCCAAUUGCGGUAACAAACUCGAGCUCCGGGUCCUUUCGCAGAGAUAUAACGUCCCUUGAGAGCGUGAAAGGCAGUUGCCAGCGGAACUCUACGGAUACUCAACGCCCUCAGUCGUCUGUUCAGAUCGAGAGAAUCAACGGGAGUGAAAUCCUGUAAAGAGAAGACAAAGCGUUGCGGAAAAAAAACUCCAUAUUUUCUCAUUUGACGAUCGUAAAAACCGUUUGAAAACAGAUAAACAGAGUGACGUUAUUUGUUUGGAGUGAUUUCUAUAAAGUCUGUUUGCGUCUCAGUAAAAAACAUCUUGUGAUUUCUGUUGCACACGCAAGUUAUACUUGAAUUUACAUAUCGUUUACCUGAGUGAGCCAGAAGAAGAAGCAAACAGUCAAGAUGGUCCAGGAACACACCUACUCCGCCAACACCUACGUUGAUGACGCCCAGGCCAGACGCUCGACGUACAAGGCCAUGCAGAUGGGCACUUACAACAACAACCCCCAGGGGAACGCGGCCUCCACAAGGACCAAAGCUAAGAAGGCCAAUCCCCAGGUCGAUGUGUGGGGCCCUGUGUUCAAGAAUAAGGAGCAUUUCGUGAACAUGCAUCUGUGCUAAAGGAUGUUCAAAGAGGAGAAGGAGGAGGAGGAAGGAGUUGGAAGGAUAGGAGGAUGGAGACGAGGAGGAGAAGGAGGAGGAGGAAGUUGGAAGAGGAGGAGAAGGGGAUGUAGUAUGUUUAAAUAAAUUGUUCGCCAUGUUUGCAUUGGCUAAUUUAUUCUAAUUGUUCACAAAUACUAGCAAUUCAUUCAUGUUCAUUGUUCCUUCGUGAUGAACAUUCACGGGGAAUUCAUUAUGUGGGUAUAGAUGUUCAAUUAACAAUAUUUUAUGAACAGAGAGAGAGAGAGAGAGAGAGAGAGAGAGAGAGAGAGAGAGAGAGAGAGAGAGAGAGA
This is a non-coding RNA of Penaeus vannamei (Pacific white shrimp), 1136 nucleotides long. NCBI's taxonomy places the organism in Eukaryota, Metazoa, Arthropoda, Malacostraca, Decapoda, Penaeidae. The record is from RefSeq and is a predicted model, not a curated record.